RNAcentral lists this ribosomal RNA (2841 nucleotides) under human gut metagenome. RNAcentral describes it as "bacterial LSU rRNA". It matches the Rfam family "Bacterial large subunit ribosomal RNA". The record is from RNAcentral.
UCAAGCUGUAAAGGGCGCAAGGGGAAUGCCUUGGCACUGAGAGCCGACGAAGGACGCGACAAGCUGCGAUAAGCUACGGGGAGCCGCAAAUGGGCUUUGAUCCGUGGAUUUCCGAAUGGGGAAACCCGAUGGAGCAAUACUCCAUCAACCAUGACUGAAUACAUAGGUCAUGGUGGGGAACCGCCUGAACUGAAACAUCUAAGUAGGGCGAGGAAGAGAAAUCAACCGAGAUUCCGCUAGUAGUGGCGAGCGAACGCGGAAGAGGCCAAACCGGAGGUAGCAAUAUUUCCGGGGUUAGGACUGCAAUAUGUAACUUUAAUCUUUAACUGAAUGCUUUGGGAAGAGCAGCGAUACAGGGUGAUAGCCCCGUAAGUGAAAAGGAUUGAGUGCUAGCAGUAUCCAGAGUACCAGCGGACACGUGAAACCCGCUGGGAAGAUGGGGGGACCAUCCUCCAAGCCUAAAUACUACUCAGUGACCGAUAGUGGAGCAGUACCGUGAGGGAAAGGUGAAAAGUACCCCGGGAGGGGAGUGAAAAAGAACCUGAAACCUUGUGCCUACAAGCACCGAGAGUCCGUUAAUGGAUGAUCGGGUACUUUUUGUAGAACGGUCCGGCGAGUUAAUAUUUGCAGCGAGGUUAAGGAACUGGAGUUCCGGAGCCGCAGCGAGAGCGAGUCUGAAAAGGGCGUAUGAAGUUGCAGGUAUUAGACCCGAAACCGGGUGACCUAUCCAUGAGCAGGCUGAAGCGGUGGUAAGACACCGUGGAGGGCCGCACCCACGUCUGUUGAAAAAGCCGGGGAUGACUUGUGGAUAGCGGAGAAAUUCCAAUCGAACUCGGAGAUAGCUGGUUCUCCCCGAAAUAGCUUUAGGGCUAGCGUUAUUUUAGAUUACCGGAGGUAAAGCACUGAAUGGUCUAGGGGCCGCGAGGUUACCAAAGCCUAUCAAACUCUGAAUGCCGGAUAAUUGAUGAAUAGCAGUCAGACUGUGUGAGAUAAGUCUCAUAGUCAAAAGGGAAACAGCCCAGAUCUACAGCUAAGGUCCCAAAUGAACACUAAGUGGAAAAUGAUGUGAAACUGCGAAGACAACCAGGAUGUUGGCUUAGAAGCAGCCACUCAUUCAAAGAGUGCGUAAUAGCUCACUGGUCGAGUGGUUUUGCGCAGAAAAUGUAACGGGGCUAAGUGUUCAACCGAAGCUUAGGCAUUGCAGCAAUGCAUUGGGUAGGGGAGCGUCGUAUGCGGGGUGAAGUCAGAGCGGAAGCACUGGUGGACUGCAUACGAGUGAGAAUGCCGGAAUAAGUAGCGAGAAUUAUGUGAGAAUCAUAAUGGCCGAAAAUCUAAGGUUUCUUGGGGAAGGUUCGUCCGCCCAAGGUUAGUCGGGAGCUAAGCUCAGGCCGAAAGGCGUAGGCGAUGCACAUACGGUAGAAAUUCCGUAACCACCGAACAUUUAAGCUAGAGGGACGCUUUCUUUAAGUCUAUCCCGGGCGAUGGUUGCCCCGGGCGUAAGGGACCGAAAUUUAGUAGGGAAGUAGAUGGCGAGAGAGACGAGAAAAGCUCUAGUGUAUACUAAGGUGCCCGUACCGCAAACCGACACAGGUAGAUGGGAUGAGUAUUCUAAGGCCAACGGGAGAAGGGUUGUUAAGGAACUCGGCAAAUUGGCCCCGUAACUUCGGGAUAAGGGGCGCCUGCGAGAGCAGGCCGCAGUGAAAAGGCCCAAGCGACUGUUUAGCAAAAACACAGCUCUCUGCUAAAUCGAAAGAUGACGUAUAGGGGGUGACGCCUGCCCGGUGCUGGAAGGUUAAGGGGAGUGCUUAGCGCAAGCGAAGGUGCGAACUUAAGCCCCAGUAAACGGCGGCCGUAACUAUAACGGUCCUAAGGUAGCGAAAUUCCUUGUCAGGUAAGUUCUGACCCGCACGAAUGGCGUAACGAUUUGGGCACUGUCUCAACAGCCCGCCCGGCGAAAUUGUAGUACCGGUGAAGAUGCCGGUUUCCCGCAACUAGACGGAAAGACCCCAUGGAGCUUCACUGUAGCUUGAUAUUGGAUCUCGGUAUUCCAUGUACAGGAUAGGUGGGAGGCUAGGAAGCGAGCGCGCCAGCGUUCGUGGAGCCAACCUUGGGAUACCACUCUUGGGAUAUUGGGAUUCUAACCUGCGACCAUGAAUCUGGUCGGGGGACACUGUCAGGUGGGCAGUUUGACUGGGGCGGUCGCCUCCAAAAGAGUAACGGAGGCGCUCAAAGGUUCGUUCAGCACGGAUGGAAAUCGUGCACUGAGUGUAAACGCAUAAACGAGCCUAACUGCGAGAAUGACGGUUCGAGCAGUAACGAAAGUUGGAGUUAGUGAUCCGGCGGUAUGUGAAUGGAAAUGCCGUCGCUCAACGGAUAAAAGCUACCCUGGGGAUAACAGGCUGAUCUCCCCCAAGAGUCCACAUCGACGGGGAGGUUUGGCACCUCGAUGUCGGCUCAUCGCAUCCUGGGGCUGUAUUCGGUCCCAAGGGUUUGGCUGUUCGCCAAUUAAAGCGGUACGCGAGCUGGGUUCAGAACGUCGUGAGACAGUUCGGUCCCUAUCUGUUGCGGGCGCAGGAAUAUUGAGAGGAGCUGUCCUUAGUACGAGAGGACCGGGAUGGACGUACCGCUGGUGCACCAGUUGUUCUGCCAAGGGCAUAGCUGGGUAGCUAAGUACGGACGAGAUAAACGCUGAAGGCAUCUAAGCGUGAAACUCCCCUCGAGAUAAGUGUUCCCAUCCUUCGGGAGUAAGGCCCCUUGUAGACUACAAGGUUGAUAGGUCAGGAGUGGAAGUGCAGUAAUGUAUGGAGCGGACUGAUACUAAUAGGCCGAGGGCUUGACCUU